This is a long non-coding RNA of Cotesia glomerata, 253 nucleotides long. RefSeq lists it as uncharacterized. NCBI's taxonomy places the organism in Eukaryota, Metazoa, Arthropoda, Insecta, Hymenoptera, Braconidae. The transcript is spliced from 2 exons. The record is from RefSeq and is a predicted model, not a curated record.
GUUAACGUAAAAAAUUCCCAACAUAAAUAUAUUCCAUAACCUUAAAUUAUAUUUUAACUUUAGUUAAAACUCAAUUUAAAUAAAUUUAUAUCAGCACUUAACAGUAUAUUUCAUUAUUAUCGGUAGAAAUUUUAAUAUUUCAUACGGCUAGUGAUAUACUCCAUGUUUAUUUUAUUAAGAUAUACUCAUAUAUGAGUUGAUAGAUCAGAACUUUUAGCCUGAGGAAAAAUACAUUAAGGCUACAUUACAACGG